ACCCAAAUGACGAGUCCGAAAUAGGAUGAAAUGUGCAUCCUGGAU
RNAcentral lists this non-coding RNA (45 nucleotides) under Trichobilharzia regenti. The record is from RNAcentral. Lineage: Eukaryota; Metazoa; Platyhelminthes; Trematoda; Strigeidida; Schistosomatidae.